This 517-nucleotide ribosomal RNA is filed under the name uncultured fungus. Its description in RNAcentral is "SSU rRNA". It matches the Rfam family "Eukaryotic small subunit ribosomal RNA", at positions 568 to 1090 of the family's 1831-position model. The record is from RNAcentral. Lineage: Eukaryota; Fungi.
CCGCAGCCGCGGUAAUUCCAGCCUCCAAUAGCNUAUAUUAAAGUUGUUGCAGUUAAAAAGCUCGUAGNUGAAUUUCGGGGUUANUAGGUUGGUCAUGCCUCUGGUAUGUNCUGGUCUCACUGGAUUCCUCCUUCCUGAUGAACCGUAAUGCCAUUAAUUUGGUGUUGCGGGGAAUUUNGACUGUUACUUUGAAAAAAUUAGAGUGUUUAAAGCAAGCUAACGCUUGAAUACAUUAGCAUGGAAUAAUGAAAUAGGACGUUCGAUCCUAUUUUGUUGGUUUCUAGGAUUGACGUAAUGAUUAAUAGGGAUAGUUGGGGGCAUUAGUAUUCAAUUGUCAGAGGUGAAAUUCUUGGAUUUAUUGAAGACUAACUACUGCGAAAGCAUUUGCCAAGGAUGUUUUCAUUAAUCAAGAACGAAAGUUAGGGGAUCGAAGACCGAUCAGAUACCGUCGUAGUCUUAUGCCAUAACACUAUGCCGACCUAGGGANUCGNAGGNUGUUAAUUUUUUAAUGANCUCA